UGGGGAAUUUUGGACAAUGGGCGCAAGCCUGAUCCAGCCAUUCCGCGUGCAGGAUGAAGGCCUUCGGGUUGUAAACUGCUUUUGUACGGAACGAAAAGGUUUUCUCUAAUACAGAGGGCUCAUGACGGUACCGUAAGAAUAAGCACCGGCUAACUACGUGCCAGCAGCCGCGGUAAUACGUAGGGUGCAAGCGUUAAUCGGAAUUACUGGGCGUAAAGCGUGCGCAGGCGGUGAUGUAAGACAGAUGUGA
Molecule: ribosomal RNA, 250 nt
Filed under: uncultured bacterium
Lineage: Bacteria
Description: partial 16S ribosomal RNA
Rfam family: Bacterial small subunit ribosomal RNA
Source: RNAcentral